GCUAAACGCGAAGAACCUUACCAGCUUUUGACAUGUCCGGUAUGAUUUCCGGAGACGGAUUCCUUCACUUCGGUGACCUGUACACAGGUACUGCAUGGCUGUCGUCAGCUCGUGUCGUGAGAUGUUGGGUUAAGUCCCGCAACGAGCGCAACCCUCGCCCUUAGUUGCCAUCAUUUAGUUGGGCACUCUAAGGGGACUGCCGGUGAUAAGCCGGAGGAAGGUGGGGAUGACGUCAAGUCUUCAUGGCCCUUACGGGCUGGGCUACACACGUGCUACAAUGGCGGUGACAGAGGGCUGCUAGGCCGCGAGGCCAUGCUAAUCCCUAAAAGCCGUCUCAGUUCGGAUUGCACUCUGCAACUCGAGUGCAUGAAGUCGGAAUCGCUAGUAAUCGCAGAUCAGCACGCUGCGGUGAAUACGUUCCCGGGUCUUGUACACACCG
RNAcentral lists this ribosomal RNA (439 nucleotides) under uncultured bacterium. RNAcentral describes it as "bacterial SSU rRNA". It matches the Rfam family "Bacterial small subunit ribosomal RNA", at positions 954 to 1392 of the family's 1533-position model. The record is from RNAcentral.